This 87-nucleotide transfer RNA is filed under the name Periconia digitata. Its description in RNAcentral is "tRNA-Pseudo". The record is from RNAcentral. Lineage: Eukaryota; Fungi; Ascomycota; Dothideomycetes; Pleosporales; Periconiaceae.
GGUCGACUAGCUCAGCUGGUUAGAGCGUGGUGCUAAUAACUUCCUUGUUAACGCCAAGGUCGUGAGUUCGAUCCUCGGCAAGUGCCC